UAAGCAUAUCAAUAAGCGGAGGAAAAGAAACCAACAGGGAUUGCCUUAGUAACGGCGAGUGAAGCGGCAACAGCUCAAAUUUGAAAUCUGGCUCCUUCGGGGUCCGAGUUGUAAUUUGCAGAGGAUGCUUCGAGUUAUGGUUCCUUCCGAGUUCCCUGGAACGGGACGCCAUAGAGGGUGAGAGCCCCGUCUGGUAGGAAACCAUGCUCAUGUGAAGCUCCCUCGACGAGUCGAGUAGUUUGGGAAUGCUGCUCUAAGGGGAGGUAUACUCCUUCCAAGGCUAAAUACCGGCUAGAGACCGAUAGCGCACAAGUAGAGUGAUCGAAAGAUGAAAAGUACUUUGAAAAGAGAGUCAAACAGCACGUGAAAUUGUUAAAAGGGAAGCGCUCGCUACCAGACGUGGGUUCGGUGGUUCAACCAGGUCCAUGACCUGGGGCACUCCGCCGGCCCAGGCCAGCAUCAGCUUUCCGUCGGGGGCAAAGGCGUCGGGAAUGUGGCUCUCCUUCGGGGGAGUGUUAUAGCCCGUCGCGUCAUACCCUUCGGGGGGCUGAGGUACGCGCUCCGCAAGGAUGCUGGCGUAAUGGUAGCUAGUGACCCGUCUUGAAACACGGACCAAGGAGUCAACCUUAUGUGCGAGUGCCCGGGCGUAAAACCCCAGCGCGGAAUGAAAGUGAACGUAGGUGAGAGCUUCGGCGCAUCACCGACCGAUCCUGAUGUCCUCGGACGGAUUUGAGUGAGAGCAUAUAGGGUUGGACCCGAAAGAAGAUGAACUAUGCGUGUGUAGGGUGAAGCCAGAGGAAACUCUGGUGGAGGCUCGCAGCGGUUCUGACGUGCAAAUCGAUCGUCAAACAUGCGCAUGGGGGCGAAAGACUAAUCGAAUCUUCUGGUAGCUGGUUUCCGCCGAA
This 905-nucleotide ribosomal RNA is filed under the name Verticillium longisporum. RNAcentral describes it as "LSU rRNA". It matches the Rfam family "Eukaryotic large subunit ribosomal RNA", at positions 35 to 965 of the family's 3401-position model. Lineage: Eukaryota; Fungi; Ascomycota; Sordariomycetes; Glomerellales; Plectosphaerellaceae. The record is from RNAcentral.